RNAcentral lists this ribosomal RNA (488 nucleotides) under uncultured bacterium. Its description in RNAcentral is "partial 16S ribosomal RNA". It matches the Rfam family "Bacterial small subunit ribosomal RNA", at positions 28 to 506 of the family's 1533-position model. The record is from RNAcentral.
GAUGAACGCUAGCUACAGGCUUAACACAUGCAAGUCGCGGGGCAGCAUGGGGGUUGCUUGCAAUCCCCGAUGGCGACCGGCGCACGGGUGAGUAACGCGUAUCCAACCUGCCCUUCACCACGGGAUAACCCGGCGAAAGUCGGACUAAUACCGUAUGUUGUCCAUUGACGGCAUCCGAUUUGGACGAAAUGCUUGGCGGUGAGGAUGGGGAUGCGCCCGAUUAGCCAGUCGGCGGGGUAACGGCCCACCGUGGCUACGAUGGGUAGGGGUUCUGAGAGGAAGGUCCCCCACACUGGAACUGAGACACGGUCCAGACUCCGACGGGAGGCAGCAGUGAGGAAUAGUGGUCAAUGGGCGUAAGCCUGAACCAGCCAAGUAGCGUGCAGGAUGACGGCCCUAUGGGUUGGAAACUGCUUUUAUGCGGGGAUAAAGUGGCCCACGUGUGGGCUUUUGCAGGUACCGCAUGAAUAAGGACCGGCUAAUUCCGU